Molecule: ribosomal RNA, 253 nt
Filed under: uncultured bacterium
Lineage: Bacteria
Description: partial 16S ribosomal RNA
Rfam family: Bacterial small subunit ribosomal RNA
Source: RNAcentral
UACAGAGGGGGCAAGCGUUAUUCGGAAUUAUUGGGCGUAAAGGGCGCGUAGGCGGCUAUUCAAGUGGCGGGUGAAAUCCCUCGGCUUAACCGAGGAACUGCCUGCCAGACUGGAUGGCUUGAGACCGGGAGAGGUGAGUGGAAUUCCCAGUGUAGCGGUGAAAUGCGUAGAUAUUGGGAGGAACACCAGUGGCGAAGGCGGCUCACUGGACCGGUACUGACGCUGAGGCGCGAAAGCUAGGGGAGCGAACGGG